Fundulus heteroclitus (mummichog) is the source of this 609-nucleotide long non-coding RNA. RefSeq lists it as uncharacterized. NCBI's taxonomy places the organism in Eukaryota, Metazoa, Chordata, Actinopteri, Cyprinodontiformes, Fundulidae. The record is from RefSeq and is a predicted model, not a curated record. The transcript is spliced from 3 exons.
GGAUCACGAGCGGUGCCCCUUGAGCGCCCCCUGCCUAGAGGCCAAGGAACUGCCGGUGUAGCAGUGUGAUGUUAUUACACUAGAUUGACAAGUGAAUUAGUCCGGUAGGAUACUGUAUCAGCACCGGCAGCUUUUAUUUUGAAAAUACGACAGAGCCAUUGAAAAACAACGGGUUACUUCCUGUUUCUAAAUUAUUAUUUUUAUUCAAAUUUAAUUUGUUACGAAUGAAGAUGUAAAUUAUUAUCUUUACUAUUGAACACAUUGAGUUCAUGGAUUCUUGUUUUGAGUGUUAGUUCAGGGGUUUAAGAAGACAAAUUAACGGAUCAUACCACUAAAGUCUGUGAAGGGUUUCCCCAUGCCCUUCGUCGUGCUCUUCCUGUUCAGAUUCCGUGAGAAGAGGCGCUGUGGAACUCUAAUGAGAAAAGGCCUGUUUUUGACUAUUUUCUAUUUGAAUGCAGGAGCAUUAAAAGUGCCUUCAGAUCAGCCGUGGCCUGAUUAUUAUUUCUCACAAGACACAACGCAGAAUCAACUACGCUACACCGGCCUCACCUACAACCAGUUCUCUGCCGUUUAUGAUCGCGCAGCAGCACACGAAAACAUGUUACCUGC